GGCGUGUAGUGAACGGAUUAAUGACUACGCGCCAGAAACAUUCCCACGACCCGGCCCCUCUACUCAGUGACGUCGUGCGACGGAGCGCGGAGGGCGGGGCAAUAACGCCGCGUGCGCCACGUCGCAUCAUGCGGUAGCAUCGCUCUCUUUGCUUCGAGCUCGCGGCAGCGACGGACGUACUCUCUAGUGCUAAUAGAACGCGUACUUGUACUUGUGUUGAUACACAUUUAGUUGAUGUAAAUGAAUAAAUCUUGUAAGGUUA
Molecule: long non-coding RNA, 262 nt
Organism: Melitaea cinxia (Glanville fritillary)
Lineage: Eukaryota; Metazoa; Arthropoda; Insecta; Lepidoptera; Nymphalidae
Exons: 2
Source: RefSeq, a predicted model, not a curated record